GUGGGGAAUAUUGGACAAUGGGCGAAAGCCUGAUCCAGCCAUGCCGCGUGUGUGAAGAAGGUCUUCGGAUUGUAAAGCACUUUAAGUUGGGAGGAAGGGCAGUAAGUUAAUACCUUGCUGUUUUGACGUUACCGACAGAAUAAGCACCGGCUAACUUCGUGCCAGCAGCCGCGGUAAUACGAAGGGUGCAAGCGUUAAUCGGAAUUACUGGGCGUAAAGCGCGCGUAGGUGGUUUUGUAAGUUGGAGGUGAAAUCCCCGGGCUCAACCUGGGAACUGCCUCCAAAACUGCAUGACUAGAGUACGGUAGAGGGUAGUGGAAUUUCCUGUGUAGCGGUGAAAUGCGUAGAUAUAGGAAGGAACACCAGUGGCGAAGGCGACUACCUGGACUGAUACAGACACUGAGGUGCGAAAGCGUGGGGAGCAAACAGGAUUAGAUACCCGGGUAGUCC
Molecule: ribosomal RNA, 450 nt
Filed under: uncultured bacterium
Lineage: Bacteria
Description: bacterial SSU rRNA
Rfam family: Bacterial small subunit ribosomal RNA
Source: RNAcentral